RNAcentral lists this ribosomal RNA (954 nucleotides) under Lumbricillus rubidus. RNAcentral's name for it is "eukaryotic LSU rRNA". The stretch from base 475 to 627 matches the Rfam family "5.8S ribosomal RNA". The record is from RNAcentral. Lineage: Eukaryota; Metazoa; Annelida; Clitellata; Enchytraeida; Enchytraeidae.
UUAACGUACUCAAUCACCAUUGAGACGCACCGAGUAUUCUGUGUAGUAAAGUCGUCGCAAAGCGGAGUGGAACUCGCAUCGACGCGGUCCGACCCCUCGGCGGUCGGGCGUCAAUCGGCGGAGGUACGGAGAUGUCGGGGUGCCUAACUGUCCAGAGGCCCAACGAACCGCGCAGUCACGGCGGUCGCCCCGAUGUCUUCGUCUUCCGCUUAUUCGCCUCGUUCGCGUUCUGUGGGUACCUAGUUCGUUCGCUCGACGGCUCGUUUGUCGAGUGAGCGGGAGGAGCAAGCCUUGCUAGGUUUAAAGAAUCUCGGUCUCAGGAGAUCGCCCUUGCGUUCGUCGCGUACAAACAACCACCACGUAACCUAAUGUUGUAACGAUAGUCGGCGGCGGACGUUACUCGCUCGGACACGUUGCUCGAGCGCGGUGGCGCGUCCGUCCGUUCGACAGUCAUGUUAACCUAACGAAAAGUACAACUCUAAGCGGUGGAUCACUCGGCUCGUGUGUCGAUGAAGAGCGCAGCCAGCUGCGUGAAUUAAUGUGAAUUGCAGGACACAUUGAACAUCGAUAUCUUGAACGCAUAUUGCGGCCUCGGGUAGUCCCGAGGCCACGCCUGUCUCAGGGUCGGUUACAAGUCAAUCGCGAAGUCGCUCUCAGCUCGCGCAUUGGGUGUCAAAGCAGGUCGAAGGUCGUCGCUGCCGCCGUUCGUCGGCGGCGGAGUCGGCCCAGACCGACGCUCUGUCGCCUCAAGUCUAGACGGGUUGCCCGGCCGCGUUCGGCUCGGGACGGUGACUCGACUCUCGAAGAGCGCACCGCAUCUCCCGACGUCGUUCGUGCGUCGAAUGCCCACAGAAACAGACGUCAGUUGCCGGCUGUCCUCCUUUGUCGGUAGCUUCCGUCGCUGAAAACAACGACUUCGACCUGAGAUCAGACGAGAUUACCCGCUGAAUUUAA